CGCAAGCUAUCCUGUAAAAUGCUAUGAUAAUGCAUUAUUAAAUAAACAAAGUAUUCUUAUUGAAAAUAAGAAUAAAUCAGGAAUUUAUCGUUGAGUUAACAAAUUAAACAAUAAAACUUAUGUGGGUAGUGGUCUUAAUUUAUUUAAAAGACUAGGGGAUUAUUAUAAUAAAAGUGAAUUAAUAAGAAAUCCUAGACCAAUUCAUGCUGCAUUACUAAAGUAUGGGUACGAGAAUUUUCAAUUAGAAAUUUUAGAAUAUUGUAGAGCAGAUGAGCUUGUUGUUAGAGAGCAGUUUUAUUUAGAUUUAUUGGAUCCGGAAUAUAAUAUAUUAAAACAUGCAUACUCAUUAUUAGGGUUUAAGCAUAGUGAGGAAAAUUUAGCUAAAUUUAAAUUAAAAAAAAUUUCCUUAGAACAUAAAAACAUAUUGUCUUUAGUGCAUUCAAAUAAAGAAGUUAGUGAGGAAACUAGAGAUAAAUUAUCUAAAGCUACUCUUAACUUUAAAAAAAAUAACCCUCUUACUCCUGAAGCUUUAGCUAAUAUUACAGCUAAAACUACAGAACGUGAAGGGGUUCCUGUUUUAGUUUUAAAUACUCAAACAAAUGAAGUAAUUGAAUUUCCUACUUUAACAAAAGCAGGUGAGUAUUUAGAAGUUAAAAGACAAGCUAUACGAAACGCAAUAAAAAGAGAGAGCCUUGUAAAAGGUCUUUAUCGUGUUUCAGAAAAAAAUUAGUAGGCAGCAUACACAUAGUGUUUCAUAAAAAAAAAGAAUAAAAUUACUUUAAUUUCGGUAAUAGCAAAUUAUUGAAGGCAGAUUAAAAAUCUGUUGUCUAAAUGGAUAGUUUAAAACUAUUUAGGGAGAAAAUUUAUGUUUAGGCACAAUAAGCAUAAAUCGCGUGUAUGUCAAAAGGGAAACAGCCCAGAACAAGAGUUAAGGUUCCAAAAUUAUUAUUAAGUGAAAUUAAGAAGGUUUUUAUUUAAGUCGACAAGGAGAUAGGCUUGGAGGCAGCCAUAAUUUAAAGACCUCGUAACAGAGCGCUUGUUAAGUUUUAAAAUGCAUCGAAAAUAUAACGGAUCUAAAUAAUAUACCGAUACCUUGUCCAUAAAUUAAGAUAAUUUAUUAUGUUAUUUAUGGGGUAGCAGAACGUUGGGUUUAUAUGAGAUUUUUCUUAUUUUUAAGAAAAUUAUAAUAUAACUCAAGUGAUAAUGGUGACAUGAGUAACUAAAAAGAGUUUAUACUCUCGCCUUAAGCUUAUGGCUAAGUAAAGUAACGGCCUCUAAGUUUUUAACCUGAAGGUUAAAAUGAUGAGAAAAUCUUUUUCUUUUAUUAAAAGACAACAUUUUUAAGUGAAAAGUGUGCAGGAAAUAUUUUAAUAAGAAAACAUGAGUGUGGACUAAAUAAACUGAAAUAGAUGAAUAAAACACAAGUGUUUUAACCGUACCUAGAAACUGCAACAAGUAAGCUAGUAGAGGAUACGAAGGCGUAAAUGAGAUAACAAUCAUAAAGGAACUCGGCAAAAUAACUACCGUAACUUAGGGAUAAGGAGGGCUCAUUAUUCUUGAUUAAUAUCAAGUAAAAAGGAAGAAGCAUGAAAUAGUGUUGUACGACUGUUUAAUUAAAACAAAGCACUUUGCAAAAAGAUGAUAAAUCUAAGUAUUGAGUGUGAAAUCUGCCCGAUGUCGGCUGGUUAACGAAGAUAACUAAAUUUUUAAAGGUUUGGUGUUGCAGGAAACCCCGAUUAAUGGCGGCCUUAACGUGAGGGUCCUAAGGUAGCGAAAUGCCUUGGCCGUUAAAUGCGGUCUUGCAUGAAUGGUGUAACGAUACAACAGCUGUCUCUAUGAUUGACUCAGUGAAAUUGGAAUAGCAGUGCAGAUACUGUUUACCUCUAGAUAGACGAGAGUGCGACUAGUUAAGUGCUUAAAAACAAUGUGGUGAAAACCCACCAGAUAACCCGUUAUCUGAGCUUAUGUGGCAUGCAUUAAGAGUAAUUUUUUUGUGUGAAGCCUACAAAAUCCUGCCUUUGCCCUUUUUUUGAUAAAGGGAGGUGAGCUAUAUUACUAUGGAUAACUAAAGUGAAUCUGCGUCAGAAGCGUAGAUCUAGAGCUCUAUUUCUUUACAGUAGAAAAAUUUUAAAAAUAGAGUUUUGUUAAUUGUAUAAACAAGUUCUCGUUUGUUUAUUAAUGGGUCUAAUAUUAACCUACGUAUAGCAGGAUCCUAAAGUAAUAAUUAAGGUGUUUUUAAGUAAACUAGGUAAGCCCCAUAGUGCCCUUAUACAGUGUGUAAGGAAGUUUAACUGUGAAGUUAAAUAUACAUUAGGGGGUAAAGGAUGCUCUAAAAAGCGAAAGUUCUAUUGUAAUGAUAGAAAUAGGUUUAUUGACUAAUUCGAAAGAAUGCUGACUUAGAGCGGGUGUUUAUUAAACUAUAACGUAAAAUUGCAUUGAUUGGGUACCGGCUUUCUUAAGUGAUACGCAUUGUUUAAUGUAGCUAAGAAAGAGGCAUGGCUCCGUAGCUUUUUAAAGAUUAAGAAAAAAAACGGGAUAUAGAAAAGACACAUGACAAACCCAAAUAACAUUCAAAAUAUCGUAUCCUCCGGAUUAGAAAAGUUGGAUCCUAUGUGA
This 2616-nucleotide ribosomal RNA is filed under the name Magnaporthiopsis poae ATCC 64411. The record is from RNAcentral. Lineage: Eukaryota; Fungi; Ascomycota; Sordariomycetes; Magnaporthales; Magnaporthaceae.